GAGUUUGAUCCUGGCUCAGAUUGAACGCUGGCGGCAUGCCUAACACAUGCAAGUCGAACGGUAACGCGGGGGCAACCCUGGCGACGAGUGGCGGACGGGUGAGUAAUACGUAGGAAUCUGCCCAUUAGUGGGGGACAACCCGGCGAAAGCCGGGCUAAUACCGCAUACGCUCUACGGAGGAAAACGGGGGAUCGUAAGACCUCGUGCUAAUGGAUGAGCCUACGUCGGAUUAGCUAGUUGGUGGGGUAAAGGCUCACCAAGGCUAUGACGGCUAGCCGGCCUGAGAGGGUGUACGGCCACACUGGAACUGAGACACGGUCCAGACUCCUACGGGAGGCAGCAGUGGGGAAUAUUGCGCAAUGGGCGAAAGCCUGACGCAGCGACGCCGCGUGGAGGAUGAAGGUUUUCGGAUUGUAAACUCCUGUUAAGUGGGAAGAAAGGCCUGAUAGUAAUAAUGAUCAGGAUAUGACGGUACCACUAGAGAAAGCACCGGCUAACUUCGUGCCAGCAGCCGCGGUAA
Molecule: ribosomal RNA, 520 nt
Filed under: uncultured Gammaproteobacteria bacterium
Lineage: Bacteria; Pseudomonadati; Pseudomonadota; Gammaproteobacteria
Description: bacterial SSU rRNA
Rfam family: Bacterial small subunit ribosomal RNA
Source: RNAcentral